This 71-nucleotide transfer RNA is filed under the name Hemiselmis andersenii. RNAcentral's name for it is "tRNA-Gly". It matches the Rfam family "tRNA". From Rfam's summary of the family: Transfer RNA (tRNA) molecules are approximately 80 nucleotides in length. Their secondary structure includes four short double-helical elements and three loops (D, anti-codon, and T loops). Further hydrogen bonds mediate the characteristic L-shaped molecular structure. tRNAs have two regions of fundamental functional importance: the anti-codon, which is responsible for specific mRNA codon recognition, and the 3' end, to which the tRNAs corresponding amino acid is attached (by aminoacyl-tRNA synthetases). tRNAs cope with the degeneracy of the genetic code in two manners: having more than one tRNA (with a specific anti-codon) for a particular amino acid; and 'wobble' base-pairing, i.e. permitting non-standard base-pairing at the 3rd anti-codon position. The record is from RNAcentral. Lineage: Eukaryota; Cryptophyceae; Cryptomonadales; Hemiselmidaceae.
GCGAAUAUAAAUUAAUGGUAAAUUGUUUGCUUUCCACGCAAUUUAUGUGAGUUCGAAUCUCGCUAUUCGCA